GUGGAGGUCCCGAAAGUGAGUAGCCUCCGUAGUGACUUUCGAAUGGCUCUUCCUCAGCCGGUGAAGUUCGUCAUCCAACUCCUUUGAUUUCUUCGUCAAGUGACGAACUUUCCUUCUGAGAUCCUGGAUCAUCGACUUCCUAGGAAUCCCCUAUGGUAGGAGAAGAGCUUCGGCAGGGCACUGUCACUGGGAGACAAGAGCGCCACAACACAAAUCAGUGCAAAAAAAAUAAAAGAAAAGAAAAAGAAUGUAG
Molecule: long non-coding RNA, 253 nt
Filed under: Elaeis guineensis (African oil palm)
Lineage: Eukaryota; Viridiplantae; Streptophyta; Magnoliopsida; Arecales; Arecaceae
Description: long non-coding RNA (EGUI_LNC062055)
Source: RNAcentral